AAAAGAAAAGGAAUUGAAUCAAAAGAAAUGCCUUGAUUUUGGGCCAAUUCGUAUCAGCCCAAGUGAUUUUGCCCCAAACCCGUCUCAAGAUCCAGGCCCAAAUUACCCCAAACCCGGUCCAGCUUAAAAGCCUGAUCAAACGAUGUCGUCUUGGACCCUUUUCAUCAGAGCCGUCGAUUUCAUUUAAUCGGACGGCCCGGAACUGGCUUUAGUUCACCAUAUAACUGUUCGAAUGGCCUACCCCCCAUUCUAUAGCUUCAGUUAAUCUCCUCCUUCAGAGACCCUCAAGUACCCUACCCUAAAAUUCUCACCACUCCGGUGGUGGUGCCACCUCUAAUCCGCCUCAAAACUACACCAUAUAACCCCCAGCCCCUCCUCUUCCUAAAUCCUGAAGCAACUUCCCUCAAAUCCCUCCCCAUCGUUUCGAAUUUUCGAUCCAAGGUCAAGACCCCAAACCCCAAAAUCCCAAAUCUCCCAAAUCGUCAAGUUUCAGUGAAGGAUUGGAGUCAAAGUUGAUUUUAUUCGUGUGUUCUCAACGAGAACACACGAUUAAUGUCAAUCUCGGCUAAAAAUUUAAGGUUUUGAAGAUUUUUUCAAAAUCCACUGUCAACCCGCCUAUUUUUAGGUACACAAUCUCAAAUUCUGAACAUGUAAGAGUGGUUUGUUUGGUUUGAAGAAAUGAAGAUCCUCAUAUUUACUUAAUGCUUUUUCUUUUAGCUUGUUUAGUUAAUUUUUUGUUUUAACAUGUUAAGAACUGAUGUUAUGCCAUGGACAUUAUGAUUUGUGCUAAGGGUUGUAUUUUGGACUUUUA
Molecule: non-coding RNA, 811 nt
Organism: Nicotiana tabacum (common tobacco)
Lineage: Eukaryota; Viridiplantae; Streptophyta; Magnoliopsida; Solanales; Solanaceae
Source: RefSeq, a predicted model, not a curated record